GACGAACGCUGGCGGCGUGCUUAACACAUGCAAGUCGAACGGAAAGGCCCUGCUUUUGUGGGGUGCUCGAGUGGCGAACGGGUGAGUAACACGUGAGUAACCUGCCCUUGACUUUGGGAUAACUUCAGGAAACUGGGGCUAAUACCGUAUAGGAGCUCCUGCUGCAUGGUGGGGGUUGGAAAGUUUCGGCGGUCGGGGAUGGACUCGCGGCUUAUCAGCUUGCUGGUGGGGUAGUGGCUUACCAAGGCUUUGACGGGUAGCCGGCCUGAGAGGGUGACCGGGCACAUUGGGACUGAGAGACGGACCAGACUCCUACGGGAGGCAGCAGUGGGGAAUAUUGCACAGUGGGCGGAAGCCUGAUGCAGCAACGCCGCGUGCGGGAUGACGGCCUUCGGGUUGUAAACCGCUUUAGCCUGUGACGAAGCGUGAGUGACGGUAAUGGGUAAAGAAGCACCGGCUAACUACGUG
RNAcentral lists this ribosomal RNA (468 nucleotides) under uncultured bacterium. RNAcentral's name for it is "partial 16S ribosomal RNA". It matches the Rfam family "Bacterial small subunit ribosomal RNA", at positions 28 to 507 of the family's 1533-position model. The record is from RNAcentral.